RNAcentral lists this non-coding RNA (27 nucleotides) under Arabidopsis thaliana (thale cress). The record is from RNAcentral. RNAcentral also lists the same sequence under 8 other names. Lineage: Eukaryota; Viridiplantae; Streptophyta; Magnoliopsida; Brassicales; Brassicaceae.
AAGUUACCACAGGGAUAACUGGCUUGU